UCACGUUCCUCCCUUUGCAUUCUUGAUACUCUUUCGUUUUCAAUCGGCAAAUUGUUCCGGACGACGACGACGACGACGACGACGACGACCCGGUCCGUGCGCGCGUAGAGAUCCUCGUAACUGGCGCCGGAGCCUAGCCAGGCUCAGGACUCCCGGUCGUAGGCGUAAUAUCGUCGUCACGGCUAAAGAAGGGCAUCGACUGUUAGAGAGAAAGGAGGAAUCCACGGAAUUAGCAGACGCUACGAAAUUUGUCGUGGAGGAUCGCUAGGCUUGAGUACUUUUUGAUCCGCGACAAUGUGCAGUAGUCAGCAGGACGAUGAAACGUGGACGGGGUUAGAGGGAGGAACGAGUUCGAAAG
Ceratina calcarata is the source of this 358-nucleotide long non-coding RNA. RefSeq lists it as uncharacterized. NCBI's taxonomy places the organism in Eukaryota, Metazoa, Arthropoda, Insecta, Hymenoptera, Apidae. The transcript is spliced from 2 exons. The record is from RefSeq and is a predicted model, not a curated record.